GACGAACGCUGGCGGCGUGCUUAACACAUGCAAGUCGAACGGUAAGGCCCUUCGGGGUACACGAGUGGCGAACGGGUGAGUAACACGUGGGUGAUCUGCCCUGCACUUCGGGAUAAGCCUGGGAAACUGGGUCUAAUACCGGAUAGGACCAAUGCCUGCAUGGGUGGUGGUGGAAAGCUUUUACGGUGUGGGAUUGGCCCGCGGCCUAUCAGGUUGUUGGUGGGGUGAUGGCCUACCAAGGCGACGGCGGGUAGCCGGCCUGAGGGGGGGACCGGCCACAGUGGGAGGGAGAUACUGCCCAGAGUGCUACGGGAGGCAGCAGUGGGGAAUAUUGCACAAGGGGCGCAAGCCUGAUGCAGCGACGCCGCGUGAGGGAUGACGACCUUCGGGUUGUAAACCUCGUUAAGCACCGACGAAGCGCAAGUGACGGUAGGUGCAGAAGAAGGACCGGCCAACUACGUGCCAGCCGCCGCAGUAA
Molecule: ribosomal RNA, 478 nt
Filed under: uncultured bacterium
Lineage: Bacteria
Description: partial 16S ribosomal RNA
Rfam family: Bacterial small subunit ribosomal RNA
Source: RNAcentral